This 835-nucleotide long non-coding RNA is filed under the name Salmo salar (Atlantic salmon). RNAcentral describes it as "lncRNA (ENSSSAG00000109662.1, ENSSSAG00020072448.1)". Lineage: Eukaryota; Metazoa; Chordata; Actinopteri; Salmoniformes; Salmonidae. The record is from RNAcentral.
GUUGUUUUUUAUUUUUCUUCUGGGAUGAAUACCUAUUGCCCGGUUGUAAAAUUAUCGCAAUUUUACAUAGAAAAAUACCCUAAAGGAUUGAUUGUAAACAUCGUUUGACGUGUUUCUACAAACGGUAAUGGAACUUUUGACCAUUUCGUCUAUGGAUUUGCGUCCAUGCCACAUGGCAUUGUAAAGUGUUCUGGAUGGGUCAACAAAACGGACGUAUUUGGACAUAAAUGAUGGACUUUGCAGAACAAAUGAACAUUUCUUGUGGAAGUGGUUGCCCUUCCGAGUGCAUUCCGCCGAAGAUCAGCAAAGGAGUGUCAUCUGAUGAAGAUUGUCAUAGGGGACAGCUUCUUAGAGUAAUAUGCACACGGAUACAAGUUCUGUGAAUUACCCUGUCGUUGAGACAGAACUGCCCCCACACCCAGCUCUGAAGCGUCCACCUUCACCAAAAAUAAUAUUGUGGGAUCUGGGUGUUUGAGCAAUGGGGCGGAGGUGAAACAUCCCUUGACUAGACGGAAGGCCCCGUCGGCUGCUGGGCUCCACACCAACCUACGGGGACCACCCUUGAGGAGAGAGGUGAGAUGGUCGGCGACAGAGCUGAAGUUCCUAAUGAAACGGUGGAAGAAGUUGGCAAACCCCAAAAACUGUUGUAACCCUUUUAUGGUGGUUGGGACAGGCUAUGACCUGACCUCAUCUACCUUCUUGUCGUCCAUCCUCCCUCCCUGUGGGCUGAUUUGGUUGUCUAAGAAGGAGACAGCCUUCUGAUGAAAUUAGCACUUCUCAGCCUUGACGAACAGAUGGUUAGCCAGGAGGCGUGGGCUGCCAGCACCAACAGGAG